CAACCAUGGUACCUAUAACUAGCUAGCCAACCAUGGUACCUAUAACUAGCUAGCCAACCAUGGUACCUAUAACUAGCUAGCCAACCAAGGUACCUAUAACUAGCUAGCCAACCAAGGUACCUAUAACUAGCUAGCCAACCAUGGUACCUAACUAACUCACCAACCAAGGUACCUAUAACUAGCUAGCCAACCAAGGUACCUAACUAACUAGCCAACCAAGGUACCUAACUUACUAGCCAACCAUGGUAUCUAUAACUAGCUAGCCAACCAAGGUACCUAACUUACUAGCCAACCAUGGUACCUAACUUACUAGCCAACCAUGGUACCUAACUAACUAGCCAACCAAGGUACCUAACUAACUAGCCAACCAAGGUACAUAACUAACUAGCCAACCUUAGCUUAUGUAGCCAACUAGCCAACCAAGGUACCUAACUUACUAGCCAGCCAACCAUGGUACCUAUAACUAGCUAGCCAACCAUGGUACCUAUAACUAGCUAGCCAACCAAGGUACCUAACUAACUAGCCAACCAAGGUACCUAACUUACUAGCCAACCAUGGUAUCUAUAACUAGCUAGCCAACCAAGGUACCUAACUUACUAGCCAACCAUGGUACCUAACUUACUAGCCAACCAUGGUACCUAACUAACUAGCCAACCAAGGUACCUAACUAACUAGCCAACCAAGGUACAUAACUAACUAGCCAACCAUGGUACCUAACUUACUAGCCAACCAAGGUACAUAACUAACUAGCCAACCUUAGCUUAUGUAGCCAACUAGCCAACCAAGGUACCUAACUUACUAGCCAGCCAACCAUGGUACCUAUAACUAGCUAGCCAACCAUGGUACCUAUAACUAGCUAGCCAACCAAGGUAUCUAUAACUAGCUAGCCAACCAAGGUAACUAACUAACUCGCCAACCAAGGUACCUAUAACUAGCUAGCCAACCAUGGUACCUAACUAGCUAGCCAACCAAGGUACCUAUAACUAGCUAGCCAACCAUGGUACCUAUAACUAGCUAGCCAACCAAGGUACCUAACUAACUCGCCAACCAAGGUACCUAUAACUAGCUAGCCAACCAUGGUACCUAACUAACUCACCAACCAAGGUACCUAUAACUAGCUAGCCAACCAAGGUACCUAACUUACUAGCCAGCCAACCAUGGUACCUAUAACUAGCUAGCCAACCAUGGUACCUAUAACUAGCUAGCCAACCAAGGUACAUAUAACUAGCUAGCCAACCAAGGUACCUAUAACUAGCUAGCCAACCAAGGUAACUAACUAACUCGCCAACCAAGGUACCUAUAACUAGCUAGCCAACCAUGGUACCUAACUAGCUAGCCAACCAAGGUACCUAUAACUAGCUAGCCAACCAUGGUACCUAUAACUAGCUAGCCAACCAUGGUACCUAUAACUAGCUAGCCAACCAUGGUACCUAUAACUAGCUAGCCAACCAAGGUACCUAUAACUAGCUAGCCAACCAAGGUACCUAACUAACUCGCCAACCAAGGUACCUAUAACUAGCUAGCCAACCAUGGUACCUAACUAACUCACCAACCAAGGUACCUAUAACUAGCUAGCCAACCAAGGUACCUAACUUACUAGCCAGCCAACCAUGGUACCUAUAAC
Long non-coding RNA from Oncorhynchus keta (chum salmon), 1624 nucleotides. RefSeq lists it as uncharacterized. The record is from RefSeq and is a predicted model, not a curated record. The transcript has 5 exons. Lineage: Eukaryota; Metazoa; Chordata; Actinopteri; Salmoniformes; Salmonidae.